UCACAGAAACACAAACUAGGUGGAAGCGGUUUUUUAAGCUGUUCUGUUUUUAUUCAGGGUGAGAGAUCGAUAAAAACCCCCCAUAUUUUGUUGCGUACUUUGGCCUUCCCACCAAACACUGUGGAGGAUUUUCUCAGGAUGGCCCUUCAGUGUUAAGCUCAGCAAAUAAAUUAAAUUUGUGGGCUAAAAUUAGUAGAUAAAUGUCAUAUUUGCCUUUGAUAUUCACAUCGCCUUUGACAGGGCGGCUCUGUUCUACAACCAUCUCUUACCCUAUGUUUAGUAAAUCAAAUCAAAUCAUUUCAAAGUGAAAAAUGCCAGUAUUAGCAUUGAUUUACUUUACACCAGAGGUUCCCAAACUGUACAGUCCCAAACUCCACAGGACACUGAAUGUCCUGCUGCUUACGCCGCCUCUCGCUCCUCACACACAGAAAUCCUGCCACAAUACAUAUGUAAAUCAGCUUUACAGUCAUAUAUUAAUGUUUUCAUCACUUUCCAGUAAUAUACUAAUGUUUACAUAACUUUACAGUCAUGUACUCUUUCUCAAAUUAAUGAGAAUUUGACUUUUUUCCAUUUUUAGGAGGAGGGAAUUCGGGGCCAACUGGUUGUGAUCUGGAUUUUGAGCCGUAUGAGCUCUGACUCCCAGUGAGAUGAUUCAGCUGAGGAGGCCAUUACUGCUAAACAUCAACACCAGCACUCAGAGAAGAAGAUCCUCACAAUCUGUAUCUCUUCAACAAAACAUUUACUUCAUACCUAUUACUCCAAAUGUUUACCCCAUUACUCCAAAUGUAGUUGCUUCUUCAUUGUUAUUAUUUCACCUUAAUUUAACCAAGUUAAAAACACUAACAUUAGAAUCUCUUUUAAAACUGAGCCCUGGCCAAGAAGGACACACAACAAACAAGAGGACAAUCAACAGGGAAACAGCAGCACAAUCAACAACAGAUAAACUUAACUCUGCAGUGAACCUGACAGAGAGGUGCAUUUGUGAAGUGCUCUGUCCAAAUAACUCAUUCUAGAGUUUUUGUGAGUAUAUUUGUGUUUUGCCACUAUGAAUAUGGCGACAUGAACUACAGAGGUGCACAUCUUUGAGCUUUAAAAUGUGUUUUCUUGAGUAGAGCGAUAAAAUGGUUAAUAAACGUGGUGUUUUAGCUCCCCCUAGUGUUAAUUGAUGGGUGUUUUGCUUCCGUGCCUUUGUGCCUUAUGUUCAUAUUGUUUCUUUUGUUAGGCAUUGUCUGAGAAGCUAUUGACGGCAGUAUAUCUUUCUGCUUUGCUCUAAAUUAUUUAUACACAGGUUUUUCACAAACACCGCAUCACUCCACUGAGACACCGCUGCUAAGCCACGACUUUGACAGCUGUAGGAGACGCUCAAGCCAUUUAAAUGUUUUUACUUCUUACUUUGCCACAAGCAGAAAACGGACAAUUUGAAGAUUGCAUUUGACCAACAGCCGAUUUGGUCCGACUCUGAAGACGAGAUGACACUAAAUUCCCAAACUGUAUUCACUACUGAGCAGCUUUUC
Long non-coding RNA from Pygocentrus nattereri (red-bellied piranha), 1514 nucleotides. RefSeq lists it as uncharacterized. The record is from RefSeq and is a predicted model, not a curated record. Lineage: Eukaryota; Metazoa; Chordata; Actinopteri; Characiformes; Serrasalmidae. The transcript is spliced from 4 exons.